UGGACCCAUGGAUCCUAACAGUGUAUAAAGUGCUGAUCCAAUGAGGUGUGGUGGUAGACCCAUGGAUCCUAACAGUGUAUGAAGUGCUGAUCCAAUGAGGUGUGGUGGUAGACCCAUGGAUCCUAACAGUGUAUAAAGGUGCUGAUCCAAUGAGGUGGUAGACCCAUGGAUCCUAACAUGGAUAAAGGUGCUGAUCCAAUGAGGUGUGGUGGUAGACCCAUGGAUCCUAACAGUGGAUAAAGGUGCUGAUCCAAUGAGGUGUGGUGGUAGACCCAUGGAUCCUAACAGUGUAGAAAGUGCUGAUCCAAUGAGGUGUGGUGGUAGACCCAUGGAUCCUAACAGUGUAUAAAGUGCUGAUCCAAUGAGGUGUGGUGGUAGACCCAUGGAUCCUAACAGUGUAUAAAGUGCUGAUUGAAUGAGGUGAGGUGGUGGACCCAUGGAUCCUA
Molecule: long non-coding RNA, 446 nt
Organism: Oncorhynchus tshawytscha (Chinook salmon)
Lineage: Eukaryota; Metazoa; Chordata; Actinopteri; Salmoniformes; Salmonidae
Source: Ensembl